AAGAAACAAGGAAAAGGGUGUGAGGAAGAGGAAGAGCUCACAGAGAAGUUGGGUUGCUUAGUUGCAUUUCACUUCUGGGAUUGUCUGGCUAAAUUCACAAGAGCAAGAAGAGUUCACAGAAUCAUGCAGGUGAACCUCAGAAACUUCAAGCAUGCCAUUCAGAUAAGCUUGGUCACGUGUGGAUCCUUAUCUGAAGAUUAUCAAGUCAUUGUCUGGAUGUAACUAUUUGCUAAAAUAUGGAAUAAAACUGCAAAAGAGAUAGAGAAAAGACAGAACAAAAUGUAAGCUCCCACUG
This 295-nucleotide long non-coding RNA is filed under the name Anser cygnoides (Swan goose). RNAcentral's name for it is "lncRNA (ENSACDG00005016948.1)". Lineage: Eukaryota; Metazoa; Chordata; Aves; Anseriformes; Anatidae. The record is from RNAcentral.